Molecule: long non-coding RNA, 1293 nt
Filed under: Phascolarctos cinereus (koala)
Lineage: Eukaryota; Metazoa; Chordata; Mammalia; Diprotodontia; Phascolarctidae
Description: lncRNA (ENSPCIG00000035343.1)
Source: RNAcentral
AUGCGACGUGAUGGGGUAUCGGUUCCAGACACAGGCGGCUGCGCCCCAGGAUUUCUUAUGUGCUCUAAAGACAAGGUGCAGGCUUCAGUGAAUGGGACGGAACUCGAUCUACUGGUGUUCCACUUACAGACUAAGGACUGUAAUCUGACCAACGCCAUUGGCUCUGAGGCUCUUCCCGUGAAUAUGACUGUAUUCCUGGUGGGAAUAAGAGAUGUUACAUACAUGCGUGCACUGAGCCCGAACGAUUGGUACAGCACCAGAGCCAGUUAUUAUAUAGCACGCAUGGCCAAGGCAUUAGAGAGACAGAAGAGGGACCUCUUAGGUGCCCUUGCCUUAGGGGCGAUCAUCUUCAAGGAGUUUCAAAUACAGGACUUAUAUGCUGAAAACAAGAUCCUGGCUUCACAAAUUGAUCAACAAGCACGAAUCCUGCAACAAGCCAUCGAAAGGCAGGCACGGAUAGAUCAACAACUGGAACUGCAAAUUCAGGCGCUAGCUGGAGUGACCCGUCAGCUUAGCAAUGAACUGCUCUGGCAAGAACUGUGGAGCCAGCUCUCUUGUGACGGAAGAUACACUACCGCAUGCGUGACCCCCUUUGAAGGCACGCUGUAAUGACACCACCAAGCAAUGACACUUGGAUAGCCCGAUGGUGCAAACACCAGGCAACUUUGAGUGCCAUUCAAUCCACUAAUGUGAUUUUGGAGAUACAGGCUUUACAAUGGCUGGUGGAACUGUCCAAGAAUGCCACAGCUCAAAUGCCUGACAGCUCUGACGACACCAUCCAAAAGAUUAUGGACUAGAUGGGACAUGUGUCCUCUCCAGUGGCUGGGUGGUUGGGUCACCUUAUAACCCUUGGUUUUGCAAUUGUUUUUCUCUUUUUCCUUCUGCCCUCCCUGCUCAUAUGCUUUGUGCAUUUGUUAAGAUUCAUCAGGUCAAAUCAGAGCUUUUAGUUCUACAACCAAGACCUUGAUGUACUUAAACAAAAAGGGGGAGUUGUUAGGGGCCACGUAGCCUUCCUCGGGAUGACGUGUCCAUUGGCAAUAUCCUGUUCUGCGAGGUCCAGCCCAGGGGCGGGGUAGAGGAGCCAUGACUGUGUGUGACAUAUCAUUCAAGAGGCGGCAGAGCUGUGGGCUUCUGCCACAUCUCCGUUAACUGCAGUGCAGUAUCACGUGGGUGUUCUCUCCUGCCCUGAAGGUGGUACCAAGCAAACUGGAUAAAAGGUCACACUCUUCCUCUCCUGCUCUCUCUCUCGGGCUCUCUCGGUCUUUUUCUCACUCUUGCUCCCGCUCACCUUCG